AUGCUCACUUUAGCAGCACAUAUGUUAAAAUUGGAAAGACACAGAGAAGAUUAGUGUGGCCCCUGCACAAGGAAAGUGGGGGAAAGUAAGUCACAAAAUUUUU
Small nuclear RNA from Cricetulus griseus (Chinese hamster), 103 nucleotides. Lineage: Eukaryota; Metazoa; Chordata; Mammalia; Rodentia; Cricetidae. The record is from Ensembl.